Molecule: ribosomal RNA, 342 nt
Filed under: Rhipicephalus pumilio
Lineage: Eukaryota; Metazoa; Arthropoda; Arachnida; Ixodida; Ixodidae
Description: partial large subunit ribosomal RNA
Source: RNAcentral
GUAUUGAAAUAAGAUUUUAAUUGAAUGCUAAGAGAAUGGAAUUACACGAAAAAACUUUUUUUAAAUUAAAAAUUGAACUUUUUUUAAUUUGUGCAGAAACAAUUAUUAAUAUUAAGGACAAGAAGACCCUAUGAAUUUAUAAAAUUUUUAAACUGAUAUUUAAUUAUUGUCAUAAAAAUUUUAGCUGGGGAGGCGGAAAAAUAUUAAAAACUUUUUAAAAAUAAAAUGAUCCAUUAUUAAUGAUUAUAUGAUAAAUACUCUAGGGAUAACAGCGUUAUAUUUUUUGAUAGACCAUAUUGACAAAAAAGUUUGCGACCUCGAUGUUGGAUUAGGAUACUUUUU